This 7260-nucleotide long non-coding RNA is filed under the name Nicotiana benthamiana. RNAcentral describes it as "long non-coding RNA (NBEN_LNC009964)". Lineage: Eukaryota; Viridiplantae; Streptophyta; Magnoliopsida; Solanales; Solanaceae. The record is from RNAcentral.
GGAGAGAGUUCGGAAGAACUUAUGUAAGAUCAUUGCAGAAUAAUGAGUUUGUGACUUGUCUUUCCUUGUUGUGUUGCGACUUCAGGAUUUGGAUUGUAAUGUCGAUUGUCCUUUUAUUAUCAUCGUUGUGUAUUUCUCGUUGUUACUUGUUAUCCGUUAGUUUAUUCUGAUUGUAGCUCUUUUAGUCAUUCGUGUUGUCUUUACAUAGUAUAUAUAUCGUUUAUAUUAUCCCUAUGAUUAUACUGUUUAUUGACCGGUAGGUGUCUUGACUGUCCCUCGUCACUACUCCAUCGAGGUUAGUCUUGAUACUUACCUACGCAUCUGCCGCAUCCGUAGGAACGAGGAAUCUCCUUCUACUCUACCUUUUAAUUGGCAGUUCCAUUUCAUGUAUUCAGUUGUUGUAGACAUUCCGGGUAUUAGAGCCGUAAGUUAUGCCUUAUUCUUAGCCUGUGUUGCCCGUGCGUUUCCGGGUCUUCGAGGUUGUUACUGUAAUUUGAGUUGAAGUGUAUAUGCCAGGUGGUACUCUACACAUUUUAUCAUGAUAUUCAGUAUUUGUUUAUUAUUUUCGUAAAGGUUGUUAAAUUUUCGCAACGUAUUAGGCUUACCUAGUUGCGAAGACUGUGCGCUGUCAUGACAGGUUCACGAUUGGUGAACUAGGGUCGUGACAAGUUGGUAUCAGAGCUCUAGGUUCAUAGGAGUCACGGGACAGAGGCCGGUUAUUUAGAGUCUCGUUGAUCGGUACAUAGACGUCUGUACUUAUCUACAAGGGCCUAUGUAACUGUUUAGGAAACAUCUUCACUUCAUUUGACUUCCCUGUCAUGCUGGAAUUUUUAUUACCACAAUUCUAAACUUCUGCUUCCUACUCUCUCACAGAUGGUGAGGACACAUAUUGCCCGAGGUGAUCGGGCACCCGUGCCCCCUGGUGCAGCCGUCGGAGGUCGGGGUCGAGGUAGAGUUCGAAGACGCGCAUGUGGUGCAGCGAGAGCACCUGUGCGAGCGGCCGCCGAGGUACUACCAGCAGAUCCAACCGGAGUCCAGGCAUCUGACACGCCUACAAGUACUACUACUCCAGCCUUUCAGGAGACUUUGGCGCAGUUCAUGAGUAUGUAUACCACUUUGGCUCAUGUCGAGUUACUUCCUCUUGCUGCAGCCACACCCCAGGCCGGGGGAGGAGCACAGACUCCCACCGCCCGCACUCCUGAGCAGCUAGUGCAUAUUGAGCUAGUCCCUGAGAUUAUUCAUGCGCUACCUGUAGCACCAGUUCAGUCCGAGGGCAUGGCAGCGGCUUCCGAGCAAGAUCAGAUGAGACUUGAGUGAUUUAAGAGGUUUAAGCCUCCUGCGUUCAGUGGUUUAGCAUUGGAGGACGCAUCUUGAGCAGGUUCCCGAGAUUAUUCCUGCGCCGCCUGCAGCACCAAUUCAGCCCGAGGGCAUGGCAGAAGCUUCCAAGCAGGAGCAGAUAUGACUAGAGAGGUUCAAGAAGUAUGGUCCUCCAGUGUUCAGUGGAUUAGCAUCAAACGAUGCCUUGGGGUUUCUUGAUGAGUGUUACCGCAUUCUCCGUACUAUGGGUAUCUUUGAGUCGAGCGUGGUUUCUUUCACUACUUUCCAGCUUCAAAGGGCCGCCUAUGAUUGGUUUGCGCACCUAUGAGUUAGACAGCCCAUGAAAGGAAGCUUUACUAACUUGGAUCCAGUUUUCAGAUAUGUUCCUAAGAGAGUUUGUUGAGGGACCGCCUAUGAUUGGUGGCGCACCUAUGAGUUAGACAGCCUAGAGUAGGCAGCUUUACUAACUUGGGCCCAGUUUUCAGAUAUGUUCCUGAGGGAGUUUGUUCCUCAGAGUCUCAGGGAUGCAUGGCACGCGGAGUUUGAGCAUUUGCGCCAGGGUGCUAUGACUGUCUCAGAGUAUGCUGUCUGUUACACCAGUUUGGAUAGACAUGCCUCAGCCUUACUUUCUACUGUUCGCGAGAAGGUUCGCCGAUUUAUUGAGGGGCUUAUUCCCAGCAUCAGGUUCAGUAUGGCCCGUGAAUUAGAGAUAGAUAUCAGCAAGUCGUGAACAUUCCUAGGGGGAUAGAUGGUAUGCAUGCUAGAGAGAGAGGGGGGGGUGGGGAAGGCAGGGUCUUGAGAGAGGGAGAAGAAGAGAUUGGGAGAGAGAGCAUGUGGAGGCGAGGAGGCCUCGUACUCCGGUGAGAUAUACUGGUCCUUAUUUUGGAGGCAGUGUGCGUCAUGGUAGAGGUUUUUCGGGUCAGCUAGUUCAUUUUGCGCUUCAAGCCUUGCAUGGUGACUCGGGUAUUCAUGGGUCUCGGACGACCCGUACCGCACAGUUUCCACCACCUCGUCAGCAGAGAGGGUGUUUUGAGUGUGGAGAUAUUAGCCACAUGGUGAGAGCUUGUCCUAGACUUUGGACUGACGUGUCGCAGCGAGGUAUUCAGAUAGGGAAAAGGCACCCAAAAGGGGGAGGCAAGCACGUUGAUGUGUCUCAUAUAGCAGGUUUGAGGCCGGUGCGCCAGCUAUGUCACUCAGGUAUGGAUUCAAUUUGUUACAGAAAGGCACUAUCUGUAGUUCAUCACAAUUCUACUUAUCGGAUUGAGUUCCUUGCUUGUUGUUCCAUUUAUGGGAUUGUUUCAUGAUUUGUACUCUGUAUAUGUGAUUAUUUUGUUGGGAGGUUUUAUGAGUGAUAGUCGUGUCUAUCGUCUAUUUUAGCCAUUGUCGGGAGUCAUAGAGGCUACUGGUAUUUCCUAUUGUCUGUUCUGAUAGGCUUGAUGUGAUUUCCUAGCAUUCCUGGUUACGAGCUGUGAUUUUUAUGCUUCAACUGUGUGGGAGCUGGUCUAUGUUGUAAAUUGUAGACGGAAUUGAUCUAGUGAGAGUCUCUAGAUGGGUUGAUGUGUACCCUACUUGUGAUCUAGUGUUGAGGGCGAGACCCUCGUGAUAGCAGGUGAAUUGAUAUGUUGAGACCGGGCUUGUACUGCGGCGAGAGCUAUAUCAGUAUAAGACCUUUGUGAGUCCAUUAUAUGCUUUCAUUUUUUCGUGUUAGAUGUCUUGUAGAUUUGUGUUUAGAAGACUUUUGUGCUAGUUUAAUUUGUUUGUUAGUUCUCUUUGUGUUUCCUUUCCCAUAUUCAUUCAUUUUCGUUAUAUGCUCUUGAGUUUUAAUUGUGGGGUGUGUACCCAUUGGUGUUGGCUGAGAUUGGGUUAAUCGGGUGUUUCGUCAUGUGGUUUUCAUGGUUGUUGUAUCAUCGCUAGUGUAUGGGUGGUUGAAAAGAGUUCCUAUUUAAUAUGAGGCUUAUGGCCGGUACAGAUUUGAUCUCAGGCAUUUAUUGCUAUAGGAAAUAUUAUUGUGGGACUAUGUGUGGUGUGCUGUGGUGUACCCUGUGUGUUGACAUGUGUUGAAUUAUUUGGUUGAGACAGAUAUCGGAUAUGGACUUGGGAUCGGGUCUUUUGGAAAUGGAUGGAACUUGAGGGAUCUGGAUUGAAGGCUUAAUGGUAUUUCUAGAAGGGUUAAAUUUUAGUUGAGAUGACGUCGUCGUGCCAAAAUGGAUUGGGGUGACCUGGGGUCACCCACAGGUGUAUGUUGGAAGUGCGCACUCAAUGAUUUGAGGACUUCGAGGUGAAUCUUAGCACGUUCGAGGACGAACGUUGGUUUUAUGAGGGGGAGGAUGUAACGACCCGACCGUUCAUUUGAAAAAAAAAAGAUUAAGCUCCGUUCAGCGGCAUAAGGUCUGGAACAGCUUCAUAACAUGAGUAUCGACUUGCGUGCAUCAUCGGUUCGGGUUUUUGAAAAAUCUUAGAAAGGAUUUUUAGAAGUGGCUUUCAUUUGAGAAGCUUCAAUUAACCAAGAAUUGGCUUUUGUGUAUUUGAUCAUGGAUUGGAGUUUCGAUGGUUCCGAUAGUCUCGGGUUUUGAAUUUUUGCAUUUAGGCGUAUGUCCGAAUUUGGAUUUGAAGGUCCAAUACAAUUCACUCUUUGUUUUAUGACUUUAUUCCUAUAUGAUGUUUGGAUAAAAGUUUGGGUGGAUUCUCUUUUUGCUUAAUAUCUUAAGAUUAAUUUUGUUCUUUGUGUAAUUUGCAUUGCUUGAUCUAGAAAGAAAUUAGCACACUGUUUUAGUUUAAGGCGAAGCUAGAAAAUUCUCGAAUUACUCAUUUGCGUACUUUUUUCUUUCUUUAUUCAUGAUAAGUGAUUGCCAUAUACAUUUGUUUGUUGGUAGACAAUUUUUAUAAAUAUUUUUAAUUAAUUUGAAUCAAUUUAAUUUAAGAUUUCAUCUGUUGUAAGUAUAUAGUGUUAAACAAAACAUGUGUCUCUAUUGAUUAAUCAAUGUGAACCUUAAAUUAGACACCAUUAAACCUAACGAAUUAGCACCAUAGCAGCCCAACUGAAACCUCCUCAAAACAGCCCUUGAACCCCCCAAAAACGUCACCCACCAACCAGCAAACACAAUCCAAAGCUCGCCUUGAAAUCUGCCCCAAAAUUCACCUCCAUUAACAGCAAUAUCCAGCUUCAAAGUUGCUGCAAAAUGCAGCAACUCUCUUCCCCAAUCCAGCCACGAAGUUAAGCUCCAAAAACACCCUUAAACCAGCUCUGUUCCCCAAUCCAGCCACGAAAUUAAGCUCCAAAAACACCCUUAAACCAGUCAAAAAUAGCUCCAAAUUCGCCCCAAAUAAUCACUGAAAAGCGCAGCUGAAACAAAUCCGAAAUCUAACUGCGUCGCACCACAAAACCUCCUCGUUUCCUCCCUUAAAAUCAGCCAUGUGAGAUAGCCAGAUCCAGUGCAAAACGGCCCCUGAAAUCUCCAUUGAAAUAAGCCAAAUAAAGCUCCAAAAGUGCAACUGGAAAGGGCACAAAAACAGUCCCAAACCUAACCCGAAACAGCCCUCUAUUAAGCCCAACGAAACAUUCUUGUAAUCGUUGCAUUUCAGCUAUAAGGAAAGUGCCUCGUUUUCUUUUCACUUCUGGAUUUUGACAAGUUUUUAGGCUGCUAAAGAAGUUGUUAUGAGGUCUAAUUGAAGCAAGUCGAGAUUCUGAGGUCUCCGAUGUGAGAUUCAGUCCAAGAUCCGGUUGUCGACUCAUGUAUCGACUCUUGAACCGUCCGGAGGUCAUGUCACCCGAGAAGUGCGUUUUAGAGUAUCGAUUGUCGUCUUUGAGGUAAGUAUCUGGCCAUACCUUAUGAAGGGGACUUCCCCUUAGGAUUUGAGUCUUACCUGUUACUUGUAUUCCUUGUACGCGAGGUAACGAGUGUGUACUCGGAUUUAUUUGUGGUAAAUUAUCCCUUUUAGGCUACUAGACUCUUGAAAUCACCGAGCAUGAAGAUGAUAUGGAUACGAUUGAGUUUCCUGUUAUUAGUUUCACUUCUAUAUGUGUUACUUGGUAUUUGUUUGACCUUCUUGAUUUAUUCUUGCUGUUUAAUGGACCUUUACGUGCUUAACUGAAGACAAUUACCCUUCUAUAGUCAUAUUACCCGNNNNNNNNNNNNNNNNNNNNNNNNNNNNNNNNNNNNNNNNNNNNNNNNNNNNNNNNNNNNNNNNNNNNNNNNNNNNNNNNNNNNNNNNNNNNNNNNNNNNNNNNNNNNNNNNNNNNNNNNNNNNNNNNNNNNNNNNNNNNNNNNNNACUUAAAUGGAAAGAAGAUAGAUAUCUUAUGAUUAGUUGUUAUUUCCUUAAAUUGUAAUUAUUUGAUUCAUGUUGACUUCUUACUGUUGGUUACUCCUUUAUUGUAAACUCAUCUGUAACUUCGUGCAAUUAUACUACAUGUCCAACUGUUGUGGUAUCGGUGUAGUUAUUAUGCACUUAUUAUGUCUUGUUGUCGUCGAGGUUAUUGUUCUUGGUGUUCUGUGGCCAUAGUAGAUAAUGUUGAUUUCCCUUGCCGGGACGUUAUUGUUUCCGUUGUUGAUUCCGUUGCUAGGACCUUAUUAUUUCCGUUGUUGAUUCCCUUGCCGGGACAUUACUGUUUCUGUUACUGAUUCCCUUGCCGGGACGUUAUUGGUUCUGUUGUUGAUUCCCUUACCGGGACAUUAUCGUCUCAAUUGUUGAUUCCCUGUUGGUACUUUGAUGCACGAGGUCUCUGCCGUGCGGUUGUUGUUGGAGAGUUGCACGAGUUCUUUGCCGUGUUAUUGUGACUAUUGAUGUUUUUGCACAUGUGGCAUAAUAAGGCGGGAUAUGUUAUAUGCUUAUAUGUGGAUUGCACAUGUGGUGGAAUAAGGUGGGAAUAUUGUGAUGCACGCGUGGCGAAAUAAGGCGGUUCUUGCUACAUUGUUAUUGGUUGCACACGUGGCGAAAUAAGGUGGGCUAUGUCAGGGGCUGAUUGUGAUGAAUUGUGAAGGCCCGUGGAGGCAUUUUUCCUAUUUUUGUUUAUUAUUGGUAUGUUGGACUAUGGGUUCAAUUCCCGAGAGAUCCUUCGUUAUUGGUAUAAUGGACUACGGAUUCAAUUCCCGGGAGAUUCUCUGUUAUUGAUAUGAUGGACUACAGGUUCAAUUCCCCGGAGAUCCUCUGUAUUGGUAUGAUGGACUACAAGUUCGAUUCCCGGGAGAUCCCCAUUAAACUCAUUGUGUUCUGAACUGGCAUUUUCAUUGAUUCUAUCCGGGUGUGAAUAAGCCGAGUGCUAGUCGAUCCUUUUUUCUUAUGCUUACCAGUUGGUAGGAUUCCUGUUAGAUACACUUGCACAAGCACACACGUAGUUGGACCCUCCUAUUAGAGAUGAAUCCCUCCUGUUUUGGCUAGGGGUGAGGAUGUGCCCUUGUUUACCCAUUAUAUAUGUGAAAGUAACCCUAGUUGACUAGUUAGAUGUCAGCAUGACCGUGUUAUUGGUGGGGCACUAGAUGCUGGGUUUUCAUGAGCCGUGGCUGGUCUGAGAGUUCGUGGUAGAAUUAUGGAGAGAGUUCGGAAGAACUUAUGCAAGAUCAUUGCAGAAUAAUGAGUUUGUGACUUGUCUUUCCUUGUUGUGUUGCGACUUCAGGAUUUGGAUUGUAAUGUCGAUUGUCCUUUUAUUAUCAUCGUUGUGUAUUUCUCGUUGUUACUUGUUAUCCGUUAGUUUAUUCUGAUUGUAGCUCUUUUAGUCAUUCGUGUUGUCUUUACAUAGUAUAUAUAUCGUUUAUAUUAUCCCUAUGAUUAUACUGUUUAUUGACCGGUAGGUGUCUUGACUGUCCCUCGUCACUACUCCAUCGAGGUUAGUCUUGAUACUUACUGGGCACCGCUGUGGUGUGCUCAUGGAUUAUACUGUUUAUUGACCGGUAGGUGUCUUGACUGUCCCUCAUCACUGCUCCAUCGAGGUUAGUCUUGAUACUUAC